Molecule: non-coding RNA, 72 nt
Organism: Chiloscyllium plagiosum (whitespotted bambooshark)
Lineage: Eukaryota; Metazoa; Chordata; Chondrichthyes; Orectolobiformes; Hemiscylliidae
Source: the annotation of a RefSeq genome assembly
GGGCCUGUGGCACAAUGGUAGCGCAUCUGACUCCUGAUCAGAAGGUUGCGUGUUCAAAUCAUGUCAGGCUUA